AGAGUUUGAUCAUGGCUCAGAUUGAACGCUGGCGGAAUGCUUACACAUGCAAGUCGAACGGCAGCACGGGGGCAACCUGGUGGCGAGUGGCGAACGGGUGAGUAAUACAUCGGAACGUGCCCAAUCGUGGGGGAUAACGUAGCGAAAGUUACGCUAAUACCGCAUACGAUCUACGGAUGAAAGCGGGGGAUCGCAAGACCUCGCGCGAAUGGAGCGGCCGAUGUCAGAUUAGGUAGUUGGUGGGGUAAAGGCUCACCAAGCCGACGAUCUGUAGCUGGUCUGAGAGGACGACCAGCCACACUGGGACUGAGACACGGUCCGGACUCCUACGGGAGGCAGCAGUGGGGAAUAUUGCGCAAUGGGCGAAAGCCUGACGCAGCCAUACCGCGUGUGUGAAGAAGGCCUUCGGGUUGUAAAGCACUUUCAGUGGGGAGGAAAAGCUGGUGGCUAAUAUCCAUCGGCCGUGACGCUACCCACAGAAGAAGCACCGGCUAAUUCCGUG
Molecule: ribosomal RNA, 502 nt
Filed under: uncultured bacterium
Lineage: Bacteria
Description: bacterial SSU rRNA
Rfam family: Bacterial small subunit ribosomal RNA
Source: RNAcentral